UACCAGCACCCCGAGUGGUCGGGACGUUUAUUGGGCCUAAAGCAUCCGUAGCCGGUUCUACAAGUCUUCCGUUAAAUCCACCUGCUUAACAGAUGGGCUGCGGAAGAUACUAUAGAGCUAGGAGGCGGGAGAGGCAAGCGGUACUCGAUGGGUAGGGGUAAAAUCCGUUGAUCCAUUGAAGACCACCAGUGGCGAAGGCGGCUUGCCAGAACGCGCUCGACGGUGAGGGAUGAAAGCUGGGGAAGCAAACCGG
This 253-nucleotide ribosomal RNA is filed under the name uncultured bacterium. RNAcentral's name for it is "partial 16S ribosomal RNA". It matches the Rfam family "Archaeal small subunit ribosomal RNA", at positions 474 to 727 of the family's 1478-position model. The record is from RNAcentral.